Molecule: ribosomal RNA, 443 nt
Filed under: uncultured bacterium
Lineage: Bacteria
Description: partial 16S ribosomal RNA
Rfam family: Bacterial small subunit ribosomal RNA
Source: RNAcentral
CCUACGGGUGGCAGCAGUAGGGAAUCUUUCACAAUGGGCGAAAGCCUGAUGGAGCAACGCCGCGUGCAGGAUGAAGGCCUUCGGGUUGUAAACUGCUUUUAUCAGGGACGAAGCAAGUGACGGUACCUGAUGAAUAAGCCACGGCUAACUACGUGCCAGCAGUCGCGGUAAUACGUAGGUGGCAAGCGUUAUCCGGAUUUACUGGGUGUAAAGGGCGUGUAGGCGGGAGUGCAAGUCAGAUGUGAAAACUAUGGGCUCAACCCAUAGCCUGCAUUUGAAACUGUACUUCUUGAGUGCUGGAGAGGCAAUCGGAAUUCCGUGUGUAGCGGUGAAAUGCGUAGAUAUACGGAGGAACACCAGUGGCGAAGGCGGAUUGCUGGACAGUAACUGACGCUGAGGCGCGAAAGCGUGGGGAGCAAACAGGAUUAGAUACCCUUGUAGUC